CGGGCUCCUGAAAGAGGAAGGAUGCCGGACUGCGACCGGGUAGAGGGUGCUGUCUGCCUGGGCCUUGGUCUCCAGGAAUCCCGAUAUCGCCCGAUGAUUCCGGGAGGAAUGACGAGCUGACAUUUUCGAUAUCAGAACCCAGGUCCAGUCCUCCAGUGUGAUUGAAAGACCAGCAGUUCUCCAGGAAUCCUCAAAACCUUCAGCUGAGAUUUCUGAGACACCUUCAUGGACUGAAGGGCUAUCGGGUUCUAAUCCUAUCCAUCAUGCAAAUGACCAUUCUUAGGCUACCUAGUCUCUACCAUGUAAACCAACCUAAUAAAUCUCUUUCUAUCAUAUA
Molecule: non-coding RNA, 337 nt
Organism: Myodes glareolus (Bank vole)
Lineage: Eukaryota; Metazoa; Chordata; Mammalia; Rodentia; Cricetidae
Source: RefSeq, a predicted model, not a curated record